RNAcentral lists this ribosomal RNA (448 nucleotides) under uncultured bacterium. Its description in RNAcentral is "bacterial SSU rRNA". It matches the Rfam family "Bacterial small subunit ribosomal RNA", at positions 330 to 792 of the family's 1533-position model. The record is from RNAcentral.
GCCAGACUCCUACGGGAGGCAGCAGUGGGGAAUAUUGGGCAAUGGGCGCAAGCCUGACCCAGCAACGCCGCGUGAAGGAAGAAGGCUUUCGGGUUGUAAACUUCUUUUGUCAGGGACGAAGCAAGUGACGGUACCUGACGAAUAAGCCACGGCUAACUACGUGCCAGCAGCCGCGGUAAUACGUAGGUGGCAAGCGUUAUCCGGAUUUAUUGGGUGUAAAGGGCGUGUAGGCGGGAAUGCAAGUCAGAUGUGAAAACUAUGGGCUCAACCCAUAGCCUGCAUUUGAAACUGUAUUUCUUGAGUGAUGGAGAGGCAGGCGGAAUUCCGUGUGUAGCGGUGAAAUGCGUAGAUAUACGGAGGAACACCAGUGGCGAAGGCGGCCUGCUGGACAUUAACUGACGCUGAGGCGCGAAAGCGUGGGGAGCAAACAGGAUUAGAUACCCGAGUA